GAUGAACGCUGGCGGCAUGCUUAACACAUGCCAGUCGAACGGGACGUCGUGUUUCCUGUGGCGGACGGGUGAGUGACGCGUGAGAACCUGCCCUUGGGAGGGGAACAACAGCUUGAAACGGCAGCUCAUACCCCGUAGGCUAAGGCGCAAAAGGAGGAAUCCGCCUGAGGGGGGGGUGGCGUCUGAUUUGCUAGUUGGGGUGGCCAGAGGUUACCGAGGCGAUGGGCAGUAGCUGGUCCGAGGGGAUGAUCAGCCACACUGGGACUGAGACGCGGCCCAGGCUCCUGCGGGAGGCAGCAGUGGGGAAGUCUGCGCAAUGGGCGAAAGGCUGACGGAGCAAUGCCGCGGGGAGGUAGAAGGCCUACGGGGCGUGAACUUCUUUGCCCGGAGCAGAAGCAAUGACGGUAGCUGGGGAAUAAGCACCGGCUAACUCUGUG
This 437-nucleotide ribosomal RNA is filed under the name uncultured bacterium. RNAcentral describes it as "partial 16S ribosomal RNA". It matches the Rfam family "Bacterial small subunit ribosomal RNA", at positions 28 to 507 of the family's 1533-position model. The record is from RNAcentral.